AUCCUUAUUUCUCUUAUUUAUAUCUGUAACCGCCGCUAACUAGCCAACAACCCUAAUCAAUCCUAACUAUUCUAGCUUCUGUUUACUCUAUAUGCUAACAUUGUAACAUCCUAUAUUAAUUUCUACAAUAUUAUUACAGGAUGUUACGUCCGAUACUGGAUCACAUGAAAUAAUCCAAACUAUUAUUACAAUGGAUACAUCUAUGUUAUAUCUAUAUACAAAAUAUUUUACAAUUGUAAACUAUAACUAAAAUUCUUCGUGCCAAGGCUUCUGCCCAUGUUGCACCUGUCUUAUCUAAAAAAAGUAACGGGUGUGGGACGAGAUAAAAUCUCAGUGAGUUCAUAACUACCCUCAACCCCCUCUAACCCGAAUACCCGGAUUUUCUAACUGUCUAUAAUCAGAUAAAAUAAAAUAAGAUAAACAGUUCAUUUCUAUUCAACGAUAACAAAUAAAUAAAAGUUGAACACACAAGUAUUAAACUGAGUGUGAGCGUUCUCAGAAGCCUUGCCUAUCCGGAUGGAAAUAUCAUCACAGACAUCUACUCACAAUUUCUUAUUACUUCUCUGCACUUGUGCACUUUUCACACUUGUGCCUGUAUCAUAACUGAAACUUCUCUAGAUCAAUAAACCACUGAUCUCAACAUAUAUUAUAUUCAUAAUAUUAUGUCAUUCCUUCUAACCAUACAUGUUCAUUUUUCUUAUCUUUCUAUUAAUUAUAAAUUGAAAGGAAACUAUGCUC
Molecule: long non-coding RNA, 738 nt
Filed under: Trifolium pratense (red clover)
Lineage: Eukaryota; Viridiplantae; Streptophyta; Magnoliopsida; Fabales; Fabaceae
Description: long non-coding RNA (TPRA_LNC009068)
Source: RNAcentral